CCCUCCAGCCCAGUUCAAGAAUAAGCCUGUGGAAAGUUACUUCUUCAAAAGCAAAAGUAUCUCAUAUCACCUCUUCUCAUUUUCUUCUCUUUAUCCUUCAUGCUGCCUGCAAGAUAGGGAGAAUGAGAACAAUCAGCCAGAACUCGAAAUCAAACUUCUGAUCUGGGAUUGAUUACUUGGAGCUCUGAUUGCUUACCUUGUCUGUCACCUCUUUCAGCAGAUCCCCUAGCUCGGCGACUUGGGGGACUCCUACUACAUGGUUUGUAUCGCGCUUGACCAAGCCUGAAACUACAAGUAAGCUUCAAGUGAAAUUGAUACAUUACCUUGUGCAUCUCCACCAGUUAAAGAUACCACCCCCGGAUGGAGGAAGAGUACUUCCAG
RNAcentral lists this long non-coding RNA (381 nucleotides) under Malus domestica (apple). Its description in RNAcentral is "long non-coding RNA (MDOM_LNC012501)". Lineage: Eukaryota; Viridiplantae; Streptophyta; Magnoliopsida; Rosales; Rosaceae. The record is from RNAcentral.